AAAAGCAUGACCAUGUAUAGAUGUGUACUGAUAUCUUUGUGCACAUUUGUGAUUAUAUAGGUAGGUUAGAUUGCAAGAAUUGUAUCUGCUUCCUGGAGACAUCCAUAGGUGUUAACAUAGACUGAGAAGAUUCCAUUUAUUGACUGAAAGCCUACAACUCUGGCCAGACAAGGAAAGUGAUAUUUGACUCUUUUGUUUUCCUUUCCUUUCUCCUACCCCAAAUAAAGGAACCCACUGAUGUGAAAGAAGAGGAUAUAAGGUAGUUUGGAAAUUUCAUUCGGAUAUGAGAUUGACAGCUAAAACCAAAGGGUAUUCAAUGUGAUAAGGAGACGUCGACAAAAUGUAGUAGAACCUGCCAACGCAGUCAUUAAGGGCGAGGGAAGGAUAAUUUAGCAGCAUAUAGUUGAAUUCGGUUAUUGAAAAUAUAAAACGAGGUCAUAUUUAUACCUUGCUGGAAAUGAGCACUCGAAGUAUGUUACAAAUAGAAUUACUGGAGUAGAGUGCAUGAACAUUUAAAAUUUUUAAUAGCUACUUCCUAUUUACUUGCAAAAAUGUUGUAUCAUUAUCCUCUGCUAAGGGCUUGUAAAAGUACCCAGUUUCCAACACCAGUGUGUAUAUUAAAUGUUUCGUCCGAGUCUCACAUUCUGUUAUCAUUUAAUAAUGCUGCUAAAGCAACUAUGUAGCUCUUGCAUUUUUAAUUUUAUUUGACUUUGUAUGUCUGCUUCUGUAUGUCAGCUCUUUUAUACUUUGCCCCUUUUAAUAGAAAUCCAUUUCUGAGAUCCUGAUAAUUUCAUAUUCACAUUUUCCCUUAUGCAAGUAUACUGCCUCAGUGGCUCAUAAAGUGAAAUUCUUGGUAGGCUAAUACAGUAUCUGCCUUCAUUUCAGUACAAGGAAGUGGAUUUUUUAUUUUAUUUUGUUUGUUUCGGUUUGAUUUUUAGUGCUUUAUAGUUCACAAAUCGAAAUUAUCUAUUUUUAGAAGGGAAAAAAUAUCUGUAGAUUAAAACUCAACUUACCGAGUUAUUUAACUUCUUGAACUUAUUUAACAAUUCGAUUGUUGUUUCCCAAAUUCCACUUAAUUCAUCUGGAAAAUGAAAAUACAUCUCUACCUUCAACCCUGAUAUUAACUAGUGUAAGUUAUGCACUGUCUGUAUACACUUUAUUUGAUCAGUGCCAGUGUUGCCUUGAUUGUUAAGUAUAUUGAAAAAGCUUCCUAAGUUAGCAUUAAAUAAGUCUCAUUUAAAAAAUGCAGAAUCAAUUAUAGUUGAAGAUGCCACGCCAGCAGCUUUCAGUAUUAUUACCUAAGAUAAUACACUAAUGAAGCAGGCAUAACAUCGUGCACCUUAAUACAUUCACAGUAUUGGAAUCCAGUGCAAUAAUGGGCAUCUCCAAGGCCCCUACAUUCAGUUUGGAGUGUAUUCCCGAGGUUUCUGUUCCAGUAUUGUUUUGUUUUUGCUGCAGGAUAGGAGAGUGAAAUGAGGUGUAGAUUCCCAUUCAUGCUUUGCUUAGGUAAAGAUUAAAAUUUGUUUUUAUUGCCUGCAGACACACUAAAUUCAGAGAGACCCAGAAAUGUGCACAGAUGACAGGUUGGUCUGGGAUACGUGAAAGCUACUAUUAUAUCAUAAAACGUAUAAACCAUACAUUAUCACAGUAUCCAGCACUGUUUUGAAAAUUACCUAAGGUUAUGCCAAAUGUCAAUGCUUUAAUUCAACAGCAAUAUCGUUGUGAGAAUGUGUUCACAGGCUAAAAAUAUUUCUUGACUUUGUAUCACACAUUUAUUAAAUCUAACCUGUAAAAAUUACCAAAUAAUACCUCUUUUUUUAUGUUUCGAUCGAUUUUAAUAAUCAGUUUUAAAAUUUAUUUUUAAGUGGUUUAUUUCACUUAUGUAUUACAUAUUUAAGAAUGUAUUUAUACUUCUACAAUUGCUCUUGGUAAAGAGUUUAUUUUUCAUACUUUCCAACUUUAAAGUACUUUAAUACAAUAGCCUCACUCCAGUUCCCUGGAUCUGCAGGCGUUUAGCAGCCUAAUACAUUGGAAGUAGAUUUUCAAAAUGAUGAAUGGAUCAUUAGUUGCAUAGCUUCCAUUAUAAGUGAUAGAUGAGCAAACUAACCUUGGGUUUUUGUACGUUAGAAUUUUCUUUUAAUAUUACUUUUGUGUAGAAUUGCAUUUAAAAGCAAUUCUCUCAUAAAUGAAGGAAUUCUGGAUCUCUUUCUUUUUAAUUUGGAGCCACAAAACACAUAAAGCACUGUAUUAGACCUACUUAUAUUUCUAUACAAUAUUCCUUUGAAGACAUAAGAGGUUAGAGAAAAAUGUUUGGCAUCAAGAGCUUCCUGUAAAUAACCAGGGCAGGUGUCUAGCUUAGAUUUCUUGCCCUUAUUACAAUGGAGAAUGGAGGAGUCUUCACUCUAUGACUUAAUAGCUAAUGACCUUGCACAGGUCACGGCCUGUCCUUGGGACUGCAGACUUCAGAUUUCUGAACAGAAGUGAAAUAAAUUAUCUCUAGGAUCUUGUGUAGGUGUAAAAGACUGUCAAUGUAGGAGAAGCAGAAAAUCCCUUAGGAAUGUAACAUACCAGUCCUGAUCAGUCACUUAAAUUUUAGCUCGAGUUCAAUGGAACCUGCUGCAGUGCAGAGAACCUGAUGGUUAAAAAUGAGAAUGAAAGCACCAUUAAGCAAUAAAGAAGUAACUCAAAAAAGACUACCUGGCAUCCUAGAAGACCAACCCUGCUUUUCAGUCAUUAACCAGAGAUUGCUUGAACACAUUUUUUAGUAUAUUGAUUUCAGAUCAAGCACUCGCAUUUUGUGACUGCUUUCUCCUUCUAAGUCCCUUCAGAGAUAAUCCAUCCUCGUAUCCACAGCACUCAGCAUAAGGCCAGGGACAUAACAUGCAGGAAACUAGAACAAGUAAUCACACGGCAUCCCUUCUCAUAUCCUUUCCUUCUGUGCCCAAAAGAACAUGCACAUUCAGGAAAGGCAUUUAUAUUUAGUCCAAGAAGCAAUUCCAGAAUAUUCAGUGCAGUUGUCUUCAACAGAUCAGAGAUUAACCUGCUAAAUUUAUAAUUUUUAAUACUGAAGUUCUGGCUAAUAUUAUGACAGCUUAUAGCAAUUCUGAUUAACAUUGGUAAUUUUCCAUGUCAAUGCCACAUGAAGUUGAAACUGUACUUUGAGGCAUUCGUUGUGUAUUUUUAUCCAAUUGUUUUCUAUGUGCCCAUCUAACAACUCUCGGUAUCCUGAAUCCAUUCCCUUUGGUCUCCAAUCUAGUUUAUUAUAAGGUUUAUAUAUAUAGCUUUGAAAAUUGCAAGAAAAUCCCCCUAGACCUUUAAUUUUGGAAAUUUGACUUUAUGAGUUGGCCUGGAGACCUUAUUCUAGAAAAAAUAACUGGCCCACAUGCCAAAUUAUGCUACAUCAUCAUCACAUAGAGUCCUGAGCUAACCAGUUUGGAACAGAUGUUUACAGCUCUAGAUGGCAAAUGGAUAUUUUUUUUUAAAUAGUAAAUCAUGAUUAACUUUAUCUUGAAUUAGAUAUAACUUACAUCAGGGUUAUCUUGAUUAUAAGAACAGAAUUAUAAUACAUGAAGUACGCUUUAAAAGCAUAUGCAAUUUCACCAUACCAACAUAAAUAUUUUUACUUUUUAAUUUUUUUUCCUAUCAGUUUAUAUGCAAGCAUAUAAACUUAAAUGUAUAAAUGUUGACUCUUCUCCUUAACAUUAUAUUACUAACAUUACAAAAUUGUCAGGUUGCUAUGCAUUCCUUACACACACGAUUUCAAUGGCUAAACUGAUAUUUUAAAUUUGAUGUACUAAAAGACUCUUAAUGAUACAGGGAUGGUCAUAUAGUUAAUGCUAUACCUAUGUUUAUGCAUAUAAGUUUAAUAUUUUUAAUUUUGAAAAUUUCUUGCAAGUGAGAUUAUUAGGUAAACAAAGUAUAAACCCUUAAUGUCAAUGAGCUGAUAUUUCUUGGAAGGCAAAGAUUUUGAAAACAAUUCCCUUUUAAUUUUUUCCCAUAAACUAGACAUAUGGUUCAAUAAGAAAAAUAUUUAGUGAAAAUUAUAUAAUUCAGCAUCUGACUAACUGUUUUGGUUUUGCUAUUUAUUUUAUUUUUUUAUAAUAGUUAGAAAUCUAUUUUUUUGGACAAUUUAAUGGAUAUUCUGUUGACUACUACCUAUUGUGGGUGGCUUUAGCAACUUAGGUUUUUAAAUUUUGUAAGAAACUUGUUGCCAUAGUAAUCACGAAAUCAAAGACACUAGAAUAAAAUGAAUAAAAUAUAGGACCCAUUUUCAAAAGUCAGUGCUUAAAUUGUUUCUCCAAAUUCACAUGUCCCUCUGUUUUAGAUGGUAGGGUUUGUUACAAGAUAAUUUAUUUUAUAAGAAAAUAUAUAUUUAGAAAUUAACGUUACUAUUAACUGAGGUAUUUGGAUAUAUUUUUUUUUUUAAAAAAAGAAACAAUUUUAGGGUUUCGUGGGUGGCUCAGUGGUUGAGCAUCUGCCUUUGGCUCAGGGUGUGAUCCCGGGGUCCUGGGAUCGAGUCCCAUGUCAGGCUCCCUGCAGGGAGCCCACUUUUCCCACUGCCUGUGUCUCUGCCUCUGUGACUCCAAUGAAUAAAUAAAUAAAAUCUUAAAAAAAAAAAAAAAACAAUUCUAAAUUCAUUAAUGAGUUACCAUGAACAUAAAGACCUUGGAGAUCUUCAAGAAAACUGAACACCAGGGACUAAGCAAGUACCAAUGUCAGCAAUCUCACUGAGUGUUUCUACAGAAUCUAAGAUCUCGAGCCACAGCUUUGACACUAUGUACAGAUUGCAGAAGACAGGAACUAGAACAGGACGCCUCCAAGGGAUGGAGACUAAUAAGAAAUUACUAACAGGUCGGAACUUAUUCACUAAAAUAAAUAAGGAAGGGCAAGAAAUGAAACAUUCCUUUCCCAGCCUUCUUAAACUGCCUCUUCUAAAGAUGUUGACAACUUGAAAUAUUAUCAGUAUUUGUUUUGAAACAGCAUCAAGGGGAAAAGAAGAACUACAUGUACCAUCUGAAAUUUUAAUCCUCCAAGGGUCCAAAUUCACUUUAUAAGCCGUGUUCCAAAACUAAUUUAUUUGAAAUAAUUUGGGUAGGCAAAAGCAAACACCGUAUGAACUCACCCUUAACCUAAGACAUGAAGAAUGCCUAUAAACAAAAUCCAAAAGAGAAUUAGUCCCUCACUAUAAUAUGAAACAAAUCAACAAAAGAAUAAAAAACACCUUCACACACACGCAGACACACAAUACACUCACACACACACACACACACACACGGGAGCCAUGCAUAAAAACUAAUAUAAACAAGAGCAAGAAACAGACAUGCAAAGAUUGCAGUUACUAUAAUUCUCAGAAAAAAAUUAAUAAAAGCAAAUAUAACAUUUUUCUUAAAGAAAUAAAAGAAUGUUGAAAAAGGAAAAAAGAACCAAGUGAAAUUUCUACAUUCUUUAAAUUAUAAUUAGAUUUUUUUCUGAAUGGAUAGGUCAAGUGGUAGUAGGUUAGAUAUAAAACUGAUGAAAGAAUCAGUGAACUGGAAAAAUAACCCCCCCAAAAAAUAUUUAUUAUUUUUGCUCAGACGUAUAUAGAGGGACUACAUUACAUGGAGGAAAGAGUGAGAUGGCUUGACAUGAAUCUAAACAGAGCUCUGGAAGGUAUUAACAGUGAGAGAGAUCACAAGGCAACAUUCAAAGAGAUGAUAGCUGAGUAUUUCCCACCGCCCCCCAAAAAAAAAAAAAUCCAAAAAACCAAAAAAAAAAAAAAAAAA
RNAcentral lists this long non-coding RNA (5762 nucleotides) under Canis lupus familiaris (dog). Its description in RNAcentral is "lncRNA (ENSCAFG00845016603.1)". Lineage: Eukaryota; Metazoa; Chordata; Mammalia; Carnivora; Canidae. The record is from RNAcentral.